UACGAAGGACCCGAGCGUUAUCCGGAUUUAUUGGGUUUAAAGGGUGCGUAGGCGGAUUAGUAAGUCAGUGGUGAAAGCCCAUCGCUUAACGGUGGAAUUGCCAUUGAUACUGCUAGUCUUGAGUAUGGUUGAGGUGGGCGGAAUGUGUCAUGUAGCGGUGAAAUGCUUAGAUAUGACACAGAACACCGAUUGCGAAGGCAGCUCACUAAACUGUAACUGACGCUGAGGCACGAAAGCGUGGGGAGCAAACAGG
Molecule: ribosomal RNA, 253 nt
Filed under: uncultured bacterium
Lineage: Bacteria
Description: partial 16S ribosomal RNA
Rfam family: Bacterial small subunit ribosomal RNA
Source: RNAcentral